ACUGAAAUUUAGCUUGGGUCAAUUACCAACCCCUAUGAAAGCUGAACUUUUGUUUUCUUUUGUGCUGCCACUCACCUCAACAAGUUCAAUGGUGGUGCUGCUGGCCACCGCCGACUUGACAGCACCGCUCCCAGUUCCUGCACCUCCUCCUCCUGCUAAGGCGCCUGCAAUGACCGACCCUCCAGCGGCAUUAAUGGGUAGCACAAUGCCCUUGGAGGACGAGGACUUGCGCAGCGGCGUCAUCUUGAUGCGGGUUUUGGCCAUCUCCUGGCGUUGGCUAAAGUGUCUGGAGCAGAUGCGCAGCUUUUGGAGGCCGCCGAGUUGAUCCACCAGUUUAUAGCUGACGCCAAAGUGACGCAGCCAAUGAUUGCAGCUGCACGUAAAUAAGAAAAAUAAGAUAUAACGACU
Non-coding RNA from Drosophila melanogaster (fruit fly), 408 nucleotides. The record is from Ensembl. Lineage: Eukaryota; Metazoa; Arthropoda; Insecta; Diptera; Drosophilidae.